RNAcentral lists this transfer RNA (90 nucleotides) under Caulobacter rhizosphaerae. RNAcentral describes it as "tRNA-Pro". The record is from RNAcentral. Lineage: Bacteria; Pseudomonadati; Pseudomonadota; Alphaproteobacteria; Caulobacterales; Caulobacteraceae.
UCCUGGGCGGCCGGCGCGGCGGCGGCGUCGGCGGCCGCCUUGUUGGCGUCGGCGGCGGCGACGGCGGCGUUCGAAGCCGCGUCCGUGGCC